UUUCCUACAUUCUGUUUUAGUUCUUCAUUGACAAGGCCGAACUUGUCCUAGUCAUCAAGUUGUCGUGUUCCGCAGAGUCCCAGCCACCUGUCUAAUAAUGCGCCUCCGUAUCCGGUACCGCCUAACCGUUUCCGGGGCUGGAUGUUACCCCCUGCGGCGUCCUCACACGCGACCCCCGCGCAAAAGGGGGCACGAGACCCCAAAAACCCUCCACGCUCCAAUGCACCGCCUUCCCCAGUUUUCCUGGGGAACGGACCCUCCCGCGGCGGGUGCGUGUCUUCGGCAUCCGGACGAUCGAUUUGUUAUUACGGCUCGUCAUUGUGUCAGUGUGAGGGAACAGUGAGAACUCCAGCACUCGCGAUCGUCGCUAUUUUCCACGAACCACAUUCUAGCCGUGGGAACUGGAAACGCCGUUUUCCCGAUUCUUUCCGGAGAAGCGUCACAGAUGGAACUCAUGGAACUAUAACUCACCCAGGUUCGACGUACCCUCACCUCAUAAUUUCGGAGCUGCUAAUUAUCGAUGUGUAAUAGAUGAGGCCCGAAAUCAUCCGGAAAUGUUCGCUCGACAGGGCCAAAUGUCGCCGAAGUGGUUAACCCGGGACGCAACCCUUUGCAACGACGUUGCGGCUGCACGUGACUCGCACGUGCGACCAAUUUCUUUUCUAUUACGACAAGCUUAUCCGUGAUUCGACGAUGUGCUUUUCGCCGUUGUAACAGAUUCUCGAGAGAGAUAUAACAACUCGAGCGCAAAAGCGAAUUAGCAAUUGAUAAGAGAGGAGGGGAAG
Molecule: long non-coding RNA, 785 nt
Organism: Temnothorax curvispinosus
Lineage: Eukaryota; Metazoa; Arthropoda; Insecta; Hymenoptera; Formicidae
Exons: 3
Source: RefSeq, a predicted model, not a curated record